This 870-nucleotide ribosomal RNA is filed under the name uncultured archaeon. RNAcentral describes it as "bacterial SSU rRNA". It matches the Rfam family "Archaeal small subunit ribosomal RNA", at positions 1 to 874 of the family's 1478-position model. The record is from RNAcentral.
UUUCCGGUUGAUCCUGCCGGAGGUUACUGCUAUCGGUGUUCGCCUAAGCCAUGCGAGUCAUAUGUUCUUCGUGAACAUGGCGUACUGCUCAGUAACACGUGGAUAACCUGCCCUUGGGUCUGGGAUAACCCCGGGAAACUGGGGAUAAUACCGGAUAACGCAUAUAUGCUGGAAUGCUUUAUGCGUAAAAUGGAUUCGUCUGCCCAAGGAUGGGUCUGCGGCCUAUCAGGUAGUAGUGGGUGUAAUGUACCUACUAGCCUACAACGGGUACGGGUUGUGGGAGCAAGAGCCCGGAGUUGGAUUCUGAGACACGAAUCCAGGCCCUACGGGGCGCAGCAGGCGCGAAAACUUUACAAUGCGGGCAACCGUGAUAAGGGAACCUCGAGUGCCUGUAAAUGCAGGCUGUUCAGGUGCCUAAAACACACCUGAAGAAAGGGCCGGGCAAGACCGGUGCCAGCCGCCGCGGUAAUACCGGCGGCUCGAGUGGUGGCCGCUUUUAUUGGGCUUAAAGCGUUCGUAGCUGGGUUGUUAAGUCUCUUGGGAAAUCUGGCGGCUUAACCGUCAGGCGUCUAAGGGAUACUGGCAAUCUUGGAACCGGGAGAGGUGAGGGGUACUUCGGGGGUAGGAGUGAAAUCCUGUAAUCCUCGAGGGACCACCUGUGGCGAAGGCGCCUCACCAGAACGGCUUCGACAGUGAGGGACGAAAGCUGGGGGAGCAAACCGGAUUAGAUACCCGGGUAGUCCCAGCCGUAAACUAUGCGCGUUAGGUGUAUCGGUGACCACGAGUUACCGAGGUGCCGAAGGGAAACCGUGAAACGUGCCGCCUGGGAAGUACGGUCGCAAGGCUGAAACUUAAAGGAAUUGGCGGGAA